GGGGAUGUGGCUCAGUGGUAGAGCGUUCGCUUCGCAUGUGAAAGGUCCCGGGUCCGAUCCCCGGCAUCUCCA
This 72-nucleotide transfer RNA is filed under the name Aplysia californica (California sea hare). RNAcentral's name for it is "tRNA-Ala (CGC) (tRNA-Ala-CGC-4-1)". It matches the Rfam family "tRNA". From Rfam's summary of the family: Transfer RNA (tRNA) molecules are approximately 80 nucleotides in length. Their secondary structure includes four short double-helical elements and three loops (D, anti-codon, and T loops). Further hydrogen bonds mediate the characteristic L-shaped molecular structure. tRNAs have two regions of fundamental functional importance: the anti-codon, which is responsible for specific mRNA codon recognition, and the 3' end, to which the tRNAs corresponding amino acid is attached (by aminoacyl-tRNA synthetases). tRNAs cope with the degeneracy of the genetic code in two manners: having more than one tRNA (with a specific anti-codon) for a particular amino acid; and 'wobble' base-pairing, i.e. permitting non-standard base-pairing at the 3rd anti-codon position. The record is from RNAcentral. Lineage: Eukaryota; Metazoa; Mollusca; Gastropoda; Aplysiida; Aplysiidae.